Molecule: long non-coding RNA, 4943 nt
Organism: Hemicordylus capensis (graceful crag lizard)
Lineage: Eukaryota; Metazoa; Chordata; Lepidosauria; Squamata; Cordylidae
Exons: 2
Source: RefSeq, a predicted model, not a curated record
UAGCUUUGUUUUUCUGCUUUAGCUUGACUUGGAACUUGCACAUGAACCCUGUGUUCUGCCCACCCCCCCACCCCCCGCGCUGUGCUGCCACAUCUCAGCUCCCUCAGGAGUUCUCUCUCCCCCCCCCAACACACACUUCUCUGUCCAGGGCAGCCAGCACAAAAAGGAAAGCAAGCAGCCCUAAAAUGCCCAGAGCUCCCCAUGCCUGCGUAGGGAGGGAAGGACUGAUUGGGAUGUGUGGGCUGGCUCUCUUCUGUGAACCACAGUCCAUCGGUGGUUGUCAAACUAACAGCAACAAAAAAGCUCUCUCGCUCUCCUCCUCGCUUAUGUGAUUUGUGAUUAGUUGGAGGAAAAACCCAGACUAAUCCAGUGGGAACACUCAGGAAAAAGAUCUGCCAGGGGUUGCGGAAAAUAGCCAAGCCUAUGUGAACUGUCCCCUUUAAAUCCCCAAAUUAAACAUCUUGCAAAUUUGCUGCAAAGCAGAUACUCUCUUCAGAUACCCUGGGGCAUGAAGGCAUGUGUGAAUAACUCCCUAGCUCUUUGGCAAAAAUUGGUCUUUAAGCAGUAGGCUCUCUGGCAGCAUGCCCCUAGGUUAAAAAGACAACAGACCAACGCAGGACGCCUCUCCCUAAUGAGGAAGCCAGCUAAUAAACCUGUCAAAGCAAAUUGGCUGGAGAGGAGAUCCUCCUGCCUAUAGAUAACGUAUGGAAUGCUUCUUAGCACCAAAAUGGCUACUUCCCAUCCUAUUAAAGUUGAUGACUUGACUAACAAAGAUAAGGGAGAGACGCUCAUAAACAAGUAUCUUUACACCUGGAGACUUUGUGGUCUCUGAGAUAGGUAAACAAAUGCAGACUCUAUUCACCUCACACAGCCACAUUUGCAUAGCUUGCCCUCACCUUUUGUCCAGAAGGACCCAUGUAAAGUGACUUAGUCCAUGUAGCAAUGGACUUUGUUGUUUUACACCCAACUCCUUACCCUCCGGGGUGGGAUAGCCACCGGAUUUGGGGAAUAUGGAGGAGUUGUUGUAUUCUCCCCCCAAAGGUUUUUUUAAAAAAUGUUGUAUAAUCUGUUUCUUGCAACAUUUAUUUAAGAGUGUUACAUAGGGUAUGUUUUUAGAUAUAAAUACCCCAGCCAGACCACCAUGGCCUCAGACUCUGUUUGGAUCUGGCAAUCCAAUGGACUCUCAUGCUGCAAGCUGCAACUACUGCUGCCUCGCCUCCUUAUCCCUGCUUCUACCCUACACUUUACUCAAAAGGAGGCACAUCUGCCCAGCCAUCGCACAACCUAACACACCCAGGAAGGAUCAGUGGUGAUAACUUCUCCAGCCGUUUAUCUCUAAGCCUUCUCACCUCUUUCUCUGCUUCUUUCCCCACUCUUCAGGCAUUGGUUUUGCAAGCCUCUAAGAAGGCUCUCAUUAGGACUUUAGCAAAAUUACCACAAGCCUCUAAUUAGGAUACUCAUUCAGAAUGCUUGCCAAAUUUUUGAAUUGCCAAACCAAACUCUCUUUUUGCCUUCUGUAACCCCUAUUUUUACCCUAGCAAAGCUUUAAAAUGUACCUGUGUCUCCUCAUCCUUUUCCAAAUACACCAGAACUGCUUUGAUACUGAAACCAAACUACUCCCCAAUCUGAGCUAAUUGCCCCACUUUAGUCAGAAGCAUAGCUGGAGCACCAUAGCCAAUUGCUCUGGGGCAGUUCUGGUAAUAAUAUGUAGCACAUGACUAGAUACAGGAAGUCUUUGAUAGGGGUGUGCACAAAAUGACCUGGCAGUUUGGUUCGAGUUCAGAACCGGACCUGGCCACGGGUUCGAGUACCAGUUCUGUCAAACUGGCCGCUGGUUCGAUUCAAAUUCAAAACGGGGUCAAGCUGGUUCAAACUGACUCUGCCAUAGAGAAUAAUGGGAAUUUUAACUGGCCCAUUAUUCCCUAUGGGUAGCUCCUAGGAACAUCAAAAUGGAUUGGGUGGUAAGUCAUGAUGGAUGCUACCUACCACCCAACCCACAAUGUAAUCAGGCAUUUUUUAAUGAAUUUUUGAAUUUUUUCAGGGUCAUCAGUAGACCAACCGUAAGUUAGUAAGUCAACCCACCCACCCCGGACCUCUAGGGAAACUUGGGUGACAUGGGGAGUCGGCCCCUCUUGCCACCCUUGCCCCAAACCAGCAUCACCCCUCUCUCUGCCUGUAACCCUGCUGCUAGCCCUGCCCUGCCUCCUCCCCGACAUUCCUUUCCCCAAACUGGGCCCUAUUUUAAAAGGGAUGAACUAAACACCAAAACACCACCAAAAGCACAAAACACCAACAAAGACUGAACCUAAAACUUACACAAACCAUGAAGACAAACCAAAAGUGCACCAAAACCACUACUCAACCUAAAAUUAAACCUUAAACCUAUUAAUAAGACAGAAAACAGCAGCACUAAAAAAAAACCCCAAGUUAAUAGCACUCCAAACCUAACCACACAAAAAUUAAAGCACAAACCUUCCUAAGCUCUAAUUGUAAAAGAACCAAACUACAAAACCAAUCAACCAGGAAAAAAAAUACAAAAUAGUGCGUGGGUGUGGGGGUGUUUCACCAAUCCGACGCAGCGGCAAGGCAGGCAAUCCACAAGGGCAACCCCCACCAAAAGGCAGACAGUAAUCCCACAGGGAAGGGUAAUUUUUUUAAAAAGGCAGGCAGGUAAUCCACAGAAAAAAGGAAGGUGGGUAAUCCAGAGGUCAGGGGUCCAAAGGGGUCAGCAGAGGUCUGCAGGCAGGUGCAACAGAGCACAUCUGGGUCUGCCAGAGCAGCAGUGCAGGUCAGGGUCAGCCAGAGAAGCAGAGCAGGUCAGGGUCAGCAGAAGCAGGGGUCGAGGUGGCAGGGGGUCCGCAGCAGCACCAAGUCCACAGUCCAAGGCACGGCAGCAAGAGCAGCAACCCAGCAGUAGCAGCAAAAGUCAGCAGCAGCACAGCCAGAGCUCUUCCUUGGAAACUUGAGGAAGAGUAAGCUUGAGCCAGAAGUACCAGGAAGUACUUGGUGCGCAUGAGCACGCUGAGUGUGCGUGCUCACACACAUGUUGUGCUCACUCGUGCACACAUCAGGUGCCUGGCAUGCGCACGUGCACCAGGUAUUUCCUGGUACUUCCUGCCAAAGAGGAAACGGGGCAGCAGGGAGUUAUGCUGCCGUGCCGACGGGUGGGGGAUGUGGAGGGAGGGAUAAGUGCACCCUCCCCCACCCUAAAAGUUAUCCCCCCGCCUUCGAAUUUCCCCCACUCGGUUCCAUGCACAUCCCUACUCUGAACCUUUUUCCCCAUGCAAAACAUUAUAAAUAGGGGUUUGGUUCCUAAACCAAGGUGGGAUACCCUAUUUUUUUCCUGCUGUGAUCAAAGCUGGUACAGUGUUUGUUACAGACGUGCUGACAAGCAACAUUCCAGUCCCUUCCCCACUCUUUCUCACUGCUGCUGGUGUCUACCUUAUAUUUCCUUUUAGACUGUGAGCCCUUUUGGGACAAGGAACCAUUUUAUUUAUUAUUUAUUUUUCUGUAUAAAAACAAUUUUUGUUGUUAAUAAGCAGUAUAUAAAUGUUCAUAGUUGCAGUUGUGCUCUGUCUUUGCAGUUUGUUGAAAAGUGGUACAGUUGAACCUUGAUAUGUGCAGAUUUGCAUAUCCACGUUCGGGUAAUAGACACUCAGCCUCGGCAUAUGUGGAAAGAAAAUUGGGGAAAACGCCGUCCUCAUGUAUCUGCGGGUCGGGGUGGCCGGAAAUGACUGCAGAGAUCAUUUCUGGCCACCAUUUGUGUUUCAGGUCCUCAAAAUGGCUCCAGUUUUGUUUCAGAGCCUCGAAAUGGCCCCAGCCUUGGCCGUUAAUCUGUGUUACCAACAUCCACACAAGAAUCCAUAAAAUUAGGUCAUUAGAGAUACCAGUGUAAUCUUUUAAUAUCUAAGAAGAUAUUUUCCACCAAAAGCUCAGGGCAUGGUCUAAAAGCAUAUGAUGCAGCAACCUUGCUAAAACUAAGCAGGGCUGAGUCUGGUCAAUGCCUUGAUAGAGCACCACCUGGGAGCCCUACAUAUGCUGCUUUGAGUUCCAUAGCAGAAAGAUUGGAUGAAACAAAUACAAAUAAAUAAAAGGUACAAAAACUGAGUAAUAUUCAAAGCAGCUUUUAAAAUUAUUAUCUUUGCUCAUGAGAGUAUUUCCAUAUGCAGCUUUGAUAACACAUGUCUAUCAAGCUAGGCACACCGGAGGGUCUGAUCUGAGGGCCUGAUGACAGCUCUGAUGGAAGCUGGCGGUAACUGAAGAACUUUAAGGCUGCAGGAACUCUGCCCCUUCCUGGACUGCUAGGGCAGCCUUCCUCUUGAAGCAAACAAGCUUGUUUCCCCUUCCUCCCAAGGAGACCCAUCAGGAGGAAGCCAUAAUCUAUUGGGCUGAACUUCUUUACCACCAGAGCAUAUACUUUUAUGUGAGGAAUUUAAUGUUUCUCCAGACAAUGGGAAAUACAGGAAAGCAAAUGGGAAAUUUUUAUAUACUGCCACAGUAACAAGACCAGACAUUGCUGCAGCUGUGGGAAUUUUAAUCAGGAAAGUGAGUAUGCCCACCAAAAAUGACUGAAUUGCAGUUAAAUUCAUUACAGGCAAGGUAGAUGACUGGAGCACAAAUUGCUGCCCCCAGACUCUGGAAUGCUCUCCCAGUGGCCAUUCGUUCCUCGGACUCCAUCACGGCUUUUAGAAAGCUUGUAAAGACUUGGCUUUUAACCCAGGCUUUUACAUAAUCGUUUUUACUGCUGCUUCUGGGUGUUUUUAUUUGUUGUAUUGUUUUAUGCCUGUUUUUAUAUGUUUUUAUACUUUUAGCAUGAUGUUUUUAUUGUGUUUUUAUUCUAUGUUUUUAACUUUUGUAAACCGCCUUGGGGCUAUCUUUUAACGAAAGGCGGUAUAAAAAUGCAAAAAUAAAUAAAAAAUAAAUAAAUAUUAAGUUGAACAACA